AAAAGCUCGUAGUCGGAUUUCUGGUCGAAGCGACCGGUCCGCCUCGAAAGGGGUGCGUACUGGUGUCGCCUUUGGCCAUCCUCGUGAAAAACUAUUCUGGCAUUAGCUUGUCGGAUUUGUGAUUCGCGUCUUUUACUGUGAAAAAAUUAGAGUGUUUAAAGCAGGCUUAGGCCGUUGAAUACAUUAGCAUGGAAUAAUAACAUAGGACUUUGAUGUUCUAUUUGUUGGUUUAUGCAUCAAGGUAAUGAUUAAUAGGGAUAGUUGGGGGUAUUCGUAUUCCAUUGUCAGAGGUGAAAUUCUUGGAUUUAUGGAAGACGAACUACUGCGAAAGCAUUUACCAAGGAUGUUUUCAUUGAUCAAGAACGAAAGUUAGGGGAUCGAAGAUGAUUAGAUACCAUCGUAGUCUUAACCAUAAACGAUGCCAACUGGGGAUCGGUGGACGUUACUUUUAUGACUCCAUCGGCACCCUAUGAGAAAUCAAAGUCUUUGGGUUCCGGGGGGAGUAUGGUCGCAAGGCUGAAACUUAAAGGAAUUGACGGAAGAGCACCGCAAGGAGUGGAGCCUGCGGCUUAAUUUGACUCAACACGGGAAAACUUACCAGGUCCAGACAUAGUGAGGAUUGACAGAUUGAGAGCUCUU
Molecule: ribosomal RNA, 639 nt
Filed under: uncultured marine eukaryote
Lineage: Eukaryota
Description: bacterial SSU rRNA
Rfam family: Eukaryotic small subunit ribosomal RNA
Source: RNAcentral